CAGCCGCCGCGGUAAUACGGAGGGGGCUAGCGUUGUUCGGAAUUACUGGGCGUAAAGCGCACGUAGGCGGCUUGGUAAGUUAGGGGUGAAAGCCCGGAGCUCAACUCCGGAAUUGCUUUUAAGACUGCCGAGCUAGUAGGUGAGAGAGGUAAGUGGAAUUCCGAGUGUAGAGGUGAAAUUCGUAGAUAUUCGGAAGAACACCAGUGGCGAAGGCGUUCGACGAGAACGGGCCUGACGGUGAGGGGCGAAGGCUAGGGGAGCAAACGGGAUUAGAUACCCGCGUAGUCCCUGUCUCUUAUAC
RNAcentral lists this ribosomal RNA (301 nucleotides) under uncultured bacterium. RNAcentral's name for it is "partial 16S ribosomal RNA". It matches the Rfam family "Bacterial small subunit ribosomal RNA", at positions 509 to 807 of the family's 1533-position model. The record is from RNAcentral.